UGGCCGCGGGAUUGAAUCUUGCACAAUGGGCGAAAGCCUGAUGCAGCAACACCGUGUGAGCGAUGAAGGCCCUAGGGUCGUAAAGCUCUGUUGUUAGGGACGAAGGGCGAAGGGUUAAUAGCCCUUAGCCUGACGGUACCUUUCGAGGAAGCCCCGGCUAACUACGUGCCAGCAGCCGCGGUAAUACGUAGGGGGCGAGCGUUGUCCGGAAUUAUUGGGCGUAAAGAGCGUGUAGGCGGCUUGGUAAGUCUGCUGUGAAACCUUGGGGCUCAACCCCAAGCGUGCAGUGGAUACUGUCAAGCUAGAGGAUGGUAGAGGCCAGUGGAAUUCCCGGUGUAGCGGUGAAAUGCGCAGAUAUCGGGAGGAACACCAGUAGCGAAGGCGGCUGGCUGGGCCAUUCCUGACGCUGAGACGCGAAAGCUAGGGGAGCGAACAGGAUUAGAUACCCUGGUAGUCCUAGCCGUAAACGAUGAACACUAGGUGUGGGGGGAGUCGAAUCCCUCCGUGCCGAAGCCAACGCGUUAAGUGUUCCGCCUGGGGAGUACGGCCGCAAGGCUAAAACUCAAAUGAAUUGACGGGG
Molecule: ribosomal RNA, 580 nt
Filed under: uncultured Rubrobacter sp.
Lineage: Bacteria; Bacillati; Actinomycetota; Rubrobacteria; Rubrobacterales; Rubrobacteraceae
Description: bacterial SSU rRNA
Rfam family: Bacterial small subunit ribosomal RNA
Source: RNAcentral